GACGAACCACCCAAACGUUAUUCGGAAUUACUGGGCUUAAAGGGUGCGUAGGCUGUGCGGAAAGUUGGGUGUGAAAUACCUCAGCUUAACUGAGGAACUGCGCUCAAAACUACCGUGCUCGAGGGAGACAGAGGUGAGCGGAACUUAGGGUGGAGCGGUGAAAUGCGUUGAUAUCCUAAGGAACACCGGUGGCGAAAGCGGCUCACUGGGUCUUUUCUGACGCUGAGGCACGAAAGCGUGGGUAGCAAACAGG
This 253-nucleotide ribosomal RNA is filed under the name uncultured bacterium. RNAcentral describes it as "partial 16S ribosomal RNA". It matches the Rfam family "Bacterial small subunit ribosomal RNA", at positions 524 to 776 of the family's 1533-position model. The record is from RNAcentral.